RNAcentral lists this transfer RNA (71 nucleotides) under Danio rerio (zebrafish). It matches the Rfam family "tRNA". From Rfam's summary of the family: Transfer RNA (tRNA) molecules are approximately 80 nucleotides in length. The record is from Rfam by way of RNAcentral. Lineage: Eukaryota; Metazoa; Chordata; Actinopteri; Cypriniformes; Danionidae.
GCAUUGGUGGUUUAGUGGUAGAAUUCUCGCCUCCCACGCAGGAGACCUGGGUCUGAUUCCCGGCCAACGCA